Molecule: ribosomal RNA, 48 nt
Filed under: Melanotaenia fluviatilis (Murray River rainbowfish)
Lineage: Eukaryota; Metazoa; Chordata; Actinopteri; Atheriniformes; Melanotaeniidae
Description: partial 16S ribosomal RNA
Source: RNAcentral
CGCCCACUAGCUAGCUCGCCCAACAUCAUAACAUUUAUAUAUAAAUAC